Molecule: ribosomal RNA, 450 nt
Filed under: uncultured bacterium
Lineage: Bacteria
Description: bacterial SSU rRNA
Rfam family: Bacterial small subunit ribosomal RNA
Source: RNAcentral
AACGAACGCUGGCGGCAGGCCUAACACAUGCAAGUCGAACGCUGUAGCAAUACAGAGUGGCAGACGGGUGAGUAACGCGUGGGAACCUUCCCAGUGGUGCGGAAUAGCUCAGGGAAACUUGAGGUAAUACCGCAUAAGCCCUUAGGGGGAAAGAUUUAUCGCCAUUGGAUGGGCCCGCGUCGGAUUAGCUAGUUGGUGAGGUAAUGGCUCACCAAGGCAACGAUCCGUAGCUGGUUUGAGAGAAUGACCAGCCACACUGGGACUGAGACACGGCCCAGACUCCUACGGGAGGCAGCAGUGGGGAAUCUUGGACAAUGGGCGCAAGCCUGAUCCAGCCAUGCCGCGUGAGUGACGAAGGCCUUAGGGUUGUAAAGCUCUUUUGCCGGGGACGAAGCGCAAGUGACGGUACCUGCAGAAGAAGCGCCGGCCAACUACGUGCCAGCAGCCGCC